UGGGGAAUAUUGCACAAUGGUGGAAACCCUGAUGCAGCGACGCCGCGUGAGCGAUGAAGUAUUUCGGUAUGUAAAGCUCUAUCAGCAGGGAAGAAAAUGACGGUACCUGACUAAGAAGCACCGGCUAAAUACGUGCC
Molecule: ribosomal RNA, 137 nt
Filed under: uncultured bacterium
Lineage: Bacteria
Description: partial 16S ribosomal RNA
Rfam family: Bacterial small subunit ribosomal RNA
Source: RNAcentral